GUGAAUCAUCGAAUCUUUGAACGCAAAUUGCACUCUCCGGUUUUCCGGGAGAGUAUGCCUGUUUGAGGGUCUGUUUAAAAAAUAAUCGAGGCUGCUGCUGUGGUGGCGCUUCGGAAUUGGGUCAUAUUCCACAUUUCGGGGAUGUAAGUGACCUAAAAUUUUUCUUAAGAUUUCUACGAACGUGCCCAAGAAUUUCUUGAACGUUAGCGACAUCUAUAUCA
This 221-nucleotide unclassified non-coding RNA is filed under the name Glomus sp. Its description in RNAcentral is "partial contains 5.8S ribosomal RNA and internal transcribed spacer 2". The stretch from base 1 to 72 matches the Rfam family "5.8S ribosomal RNA", at positions 84 to 154 of the family's 154-position model. Lineage: Eukaryota; Fungi; Glomeromycota; Glomeromycetes; Glomerales; Glomeraceae. The record is from RNAcentral.